This 279-nucleotide ribosomal RNA is filed under the name uncultured bacterium. RNAcentral describes it as "partial 16S ribosomal RNA". It matches the Rfam family "Bacterial small subunit ribosomal RNA", at positions 506 to 784 of the family's 1533-position model. The record is from RNAcentral.
UGCCAGCAGCCGCGGUAAUACAAAGGGUGCUAGCGUUGUUCGGAAUUAUUGGGCGUAAAGCGCGUGUAGGCGGUUCGUUAAGUCUGAUGUGAAAGCCCGGGGCUCAACCCCGGAAGUGCAUUGGAAACUGGCGAACUUGAGUACGGGAGAGGAAAGUGGAAUUCCGAGUGUAGGGGUGAAAUCCGUAGAUAUUCGGAGGAACACCAGUGGCGAAGGCGGCCACCUGGACGGUGACUGACGCUCAGACCCGAAAGCGUGGGGAGCAAACAGGAUUAGAUA